CUUUCGAAUAAAUAGUAAAUUUCACCAACCCAAAAAAAUGAAUUAAAAAUAUAACAAAAGAUAUUAUGUUUGAAAUUUAGCUCACUGGAUCGGGUAUAAAUCUGUUCAUUUCAGGUAUGAGUUCUUCGAGUUCUCAACAUUUGGAUCUAAGUAGGUAUUUGAUUUCUUUUUGUCCGGGUCGAUUUUUUUUGGUUCCGGAUCAUUCUAACUUUUUUAUAUUAUAAAUUUUAAAUAAUAUACAACAUGUAUAUAAAAUAUGUGAAUCAAAAGAUAAAUCCGCGCAGGCGCGCGGGUCAUGAUCUAGUUAUAUAUAUAUGCUUGAUGUACAAAAAGUUGGUAGUUUCCUAAAAAGACUUGUAUAUAUUUCUUAAAAGAAAAUUGAUUUUGAGAAAAAUAUGUAUGCAAAUUUGUAAAAUUUCAUAACAAUCAACGAAAAUUCAUACAAAAUCUAUUCAACUUUUAAAAUCUCUCAACUUUUAAAAUUCUCAGAUUCUACACAAAUUCUUGUCCUAAUAACCCCUUAAUAUUAAAAAGGAAAAAAAAACACACUGUAAAAUAAAGACAUCAGGUUAAUUUAUCUUCUGCUACGCCAAUCUUCUUCUUCCUCUUCAAUGGCUCCAGUUUGACAAACCUCCACCGCAACUCCCCAGCUCUUCUGUCACGACCUCCUCUCGGUUUCGAGUCAAGACCCUCGCCGGUCUUAUGCUCCGUCACACCGGAUCUCAGAACUACAUGUUCGCCUAGCCACCGUGGCUCUUCUUCCAUGGCGUCCAGUCCAUCUCCACCGCUUUGCUCCACCACAAAAUAUCUCUUCCAGUCUGUCUCAACUCCUCCGUCGUGUUCUCAGCUAUCCAUAUCGUCGAAAUCAUCCUCGCCGACGCGUUUCUCCUUGAUUGGUCCUCUUGAGUUUGCCAUAAGACUAGGGAUGGCGAUCAAGGACCUGGACCGCAGGCCUGGCCCGUAAAAGUGUGCUGCGGGGCGGGAUAAGACUAGCGUGUACAAAUCUAACCCAAGAGAAUAUUACAAAACUGCAAUCUUGGCCCUGGAUUUUCGUCUUCUUUCGUUUAUACCCAAAUGUCUUGAGCCGAAAAAGACGAAAAUAUCCUUUCAAAUGGACCCUAAUCAUUCUAAUUGUGCAAAAAAUCGUGGAUGAAGAUAAAAGAUAAGGGUGAAAAAAUCGGGGAGAAUUAGAAAAAUGGACAUUUUGAACUUUUAUUUAUCUUUUUAAGAUUUCUUUUAUUUUGGCAAUUCUAGACAUGUUUUACCCUUCGUUCAUUGGAAAAUAGUAAAUUUAAUUUUAAAAAUGUAAAAAAGUAUGAAAACUAUUGUAAACAUAAGUAUGAAAAUUUAUA
Long non-coding RNA from Raphanus sativus (radish), 1352 nucleotides. RefSeq lists it as uncharacterized. The transcript has 2 exons. Lineage: Eukaryota; Viridiplantae; Streptophyta; Magnoliopsida; Brassicales; Brassicaceae. The record is from RefSeq and is a predicted model, not a curated record.